UACGGAGGGGGCUAGCGUUGUUCGGAAUUACUGGGCGUAAAGCGCGCGUAGGCGGCUUUGUAAGUCAGAGGUGAAAUCCUGGAGCUUAACUCCAGAACUGCCUUUGAGACUGCAUCGCUUGAAUCGUGGAGAGGUAAGUGGAAUUCCCGGUGUAGCGGUGAAAUGCGCAGAUAUCGGGAGGAACACCAAUGGCGAAGGCAGCUUGCUGGGACGGUACUGACGCUGAGGCGCGAAAGCGUGGGGAGCAAACAGG
This 253-nucleotide ribosomal RNA is filed under the name uncultured bacterium. RNAcentral's name for it is "partial 16S ribosomal RNA". It matches the Rfam family "Bacterial small subunit ribosomal RNA", at positions 524 to 776 of the family's 1533-position model. The record is from RNAcentral.